RNAcentral lists this ribosomal RNA (298 nucleotides) under uncultured Spirochaeta sp. RNAcentral's name for it is "partial 16S ribosomal RNA". It matches the Rfam family "Bacterial small subunit ribosomal RNA", at positions 1082 to 1382 of the family's 1533-position model. Lineage: Bacteria; Pseudomonadati; Spirochaetota; Spirochaetia; Spirochaetales; Spirochaetaceae. The record is from RNAcentral.
AAGUCCCGCAACGAGCGCAACCCUAUCAUCUGUUGCCAGCAUUUAAGUGGGGACUCAGAUGAGACUGCCGGUGACAAACCGGAGGAAGGUGGGGACGACGUCAAGUCAUCAUGGCCCUUAUGUCCUGGGCUACACACGUGCUACAAUGGCCGGUACAGAGUGAAGCGAAACCGCGAGGUGAAGCAAAACGCAGAAAGCCGGUCUCAGUACGGAUUGGAGUCUGAAACUCGACUUCAUGAAGUUGGAAUCGCUAGUAAUCGCGCAUCAGCAUGGCGCGGUGAAUACGUUCCCGGGCCUU